This 462-nucleotide ribosomal RNA is filed under the name uncultured bacterium. Its description in RNAcentral is "partial 16S ribosomal RNA". It matches the Rfam family "Bacterial small subunit ribosomal RNA", at positions 28 to 507 of the family's 1533-position model. The record is from RNAcentral.
GACGAACGCUGGCGGCGUGCUUAACACAUGCAAGUCGAACGGAAAGGCCCUUCGGGGUACUCGAUUGGCGAACGGGGGAGUAACACGUGGGUGAUCUGCCCUGCACUUUGGGAUAAGCCUGGGAAAAUGGGGCUAAUACCAAAUAUGAUCAUCGGCUUCAUGAUCGGUGGUGGCAAGCUUUUGCGGUGUGGGCUGGGCCCGCGGCCUAUCAGCUUGUUGUUGGGGGAAUGGCGUGCCAAGGCGACGACGGGUAGCCGUCCUGAGAGGGUGACCGGCGACAAGGGGACUGCGAUAGGGACCAGACUCCUACGGGAGGCAGCAGUGGGGAAUAUUGCACAAUGGGCGCAAGCCUGAUGCAGAGACGCCGCGUGAGGGAUGACGGCCUUCGGGUUGUAAACCUCUUUCAGCACAGACGCAGCGCAAGUGACGGUACGUGAAGAAGAAGGACCGGCCAACUACGUG